UCUUUUAUUAUUGUUUUUUAAUGGAAUGAUAAUGAUCCUGGAAUAAGUAUCCUGCAAAUGAAAAGGCUAAUAUAGCAGUUGCCCUGAGGAGCUUAAAUAUAUGGGGAAAAAAAAAUGGGCACACUAGCCUAAAGGUCUGGAAUGGUAAAGGAUAUGUUCUUGAACUCCACUAAUCUCAGUAACGGGGGUUGUGAUGUGAAUCUUGUAUCAUGCUCACAUGUAUCUGAAGUUCAAAGUAUUGCUGUGCUGUGCAAAGGUCUAUCUCACCUCAGAGCUGUAGGAAUAGCAAAGAAACAAGUAAAAACAGACAGACGAGAAAGGAACAUUACUGAUAUCCCCAAAACAAAAAGAAGAAAAAGAUUCCAUGGGCAUUUCUCUUUUUAUCUACAAUUACUUUUACCUUGCGAACAGUUAAAAUGAUUUUUUGAGGCAUGCCCUACUUCUGAAUGUGAGAGAAGACAACAGGUUAUUUGCAUGUUUGCAAAUUCAUUUCAGUACAAGUAAAUAAUCAGUCUCCUUUCAAAUAAAGUCUAACUUCAAAUGCUAUCAAAAAUCAUCAAUAUUUGAUAAAUUAAUUUGUAUAUUUGUUUUUCAUUUGUACUUCACCUACUGUUUUGAGCAUUAAAGAAAGAUACAUAUGCAUUUUUAUCAUUUUCCUUAACAUUUAGUAACUGAUAAAGACAUUAUUUUAUAGAAGUUUCAUUUCUUUUUCACAAAAACAGUGGCGAUUUUCAACACAAAACUGCCACAACAAAACCUUUAUUUUUAUGACAAACUCAAAACUUUCUAUAAUUCAGCCUAGUAAGAGCAACCUGAGAUGGUGAUAGAAGACUUGUAAAAUAAAGCAUUACCCAAGACUUUCAGUAAUUCGAACUGAAACAGUUAGUCCAUAAAGGGUUUUCACAGUUUAUCUGCACCUAUUUAUAUAAUUUCUUAAUCUUUUCAUAUACAGUAAUUGAUGUUCUAUCUUUACAUACAUAUUCCACAUGUUUUCCUGCAAUGUUACACUGCUAACUUUAGUAAUAUCUUGUGAACUCGUUACACAGAUAAAUUACAUAAACUUCUCUUUUAGGAGUUUUUUGUUGUUGUUGUUGUUGUUGUUUUUUGUCUUCCAAUUCUAUUGAAUGUUUCCAUUGCUCUUCUGUAGAAAAAAAAGGAAACAAUAGGACGCUACAGUUCCUAAAUUAUGUACUACAUAAUGCUGUCGUGAAAUAUGUGAGUGUAUUCUUCCCAGUUAUCUAUGAUCAUAUCUAUAAUGCCUAUAAUCCAAUAGGCAUC
Molecule: long non-coding RNA, 1278 nt
Filed under: Gallus gallus (chicken)
Lineage: Eukaryota; Metazoa; Chordata; Aves; Galliformes; Phasianidae
Description: lncRNA (ENSGALG00010011769.1)
Source: RNAcentral